UUUUCCUUCGUCACUUUAAGUGUGGAUUAUCUUCAUUGUGGUAAAAGAAUAUUACUUUAUUUAGGAUUAUAAUGAAGGUCGUGGGUAGAAAGGUUGACCCUAGACUCUCGCUUUGUCCUAGUUUGUGUUUUUAAUGUUUUAUUUUUAAGUUAAAAUAUAUUAAUAAAAAAAGUAAAAAUACAAUAUAUGGGGUCAUAAACCAAACCAAGGAAUAGAUUCUAAGGGCCAAAUAAGAAAAGAUCGUCCAACAUUAGAUUAAAACAAGAGGACAUGCUAUAGAUUCUAAAUUAGGAUAAAAAAAAGUCUCUAAAAACACCUUAAGCAAGAACAUUAAUUAGAAAGAUUAUGAACGAGUAGUAUAGGAUCAAGUUUU
This 373-nucleotide long non-coding RNA is filed under the name Medicago truncatula (barrel medic). Its description in RNAcentral is "long non-coding RNA (MTRU_LNC000750)". The record is from RNAcentral. Lineage: Eukaryota; Viridiplantae; Streptophyta; Magnoliopsida; Fabales; Fabaceae.